This 775-nucleotide ribosomal RNA is filed under the name uncultured Neocallimastigales. Its description in RNAcentral is "partial large subunit ribosomal RNA". It matches the Rfam family "Eukaryotic large subunit ribosomal RNA", at positions 24 to 644 of the family's 3401-position model. The record is from RNAcentral. Lineage: Eukaryota; Fungi; Neocallimastigomycota; Neocallimastigomycetes; Neocallimastigales.
UAUGUGAUCGUCUCUCGCAUAUCAAUAAGCGGAGGAAAAGAAACUAACAAGGAUUCCCCUAGUAACGGCGAGUGAAGCGGGAAGAGCUCAAAUUUGAAAUCUUAAAGGGUUUCCCUUUACGAAUUGUAGUUUAAAGAAGUGUUUUCUGUUGAGGUUUUGGUAAAAGUUCUUUGGAAUAGGACAUCAUAGAGGGUGAGAAUCCCGUAUUUGACCUUUACUUUCAACUUUGUGAUACACUUUCAAAGAGUCGGAUUGUUUGGGAAUGCAGUCCAAAAUGGGUGGUAAAUUUCAUCUAAAGCUAAAUAUUGGCGAGAGACCGAUAGCGAACAAGUACCGUGAGGGAAAGAUGAAAAGAACUUUGAAAAGAGAGUUAAACAGUACGUGAAAUUGUCAAAAGGGAAGCGUUUGACAUCCAGUGUUGUUUUUCUGAAAAUCAAUUAAAGAACUGUUUAUGCUAAGUUGUUUAGACUUUAUCAGCUAACUGUUUAGUUUUGAGCUUUUCUUUAAUGCACUUUUCAGUUAACAAGUCAACAUCAAUUUCUUUUGCUGUAAAAAAGCUUGAGGAAGGUGGCUUGAGAUUCGUCUUAAGUGUUUAUAGCCUCUUGCCUAUGCAGUCGGAGAGAUUGAGGUCUGCAGCGUAGAUCCUUCGGGGCUAAAUGCAUUUGUGCUAAGUUAUAGCAUUUUAUAGACAACUUGUUGACUAUGAUUUGUCUUGUAGCUUACUCGCUUAUGUUAUUUUACCUACGCUUAGGAUGUUGACUGAUAUGUAGUCGUA